This 301-nucleotide ribosomal RNA is filed under the name uncultured bacterium. RNAcentral describes it as "partial 16S ribosomal RNA". It matches the Rfam family "Bacterial small subunit ribosomal RNA", at positions 509 to 807 of the family's 1533-position model. The record is from RNAcentral.
CAGUAGCCGCGGGAAUACGAAGGGGGCUAGCGUUGUUCGGAUUUACUGGGCGUAAAGCGCACGUAGGCGGAUCGAUCAGCCAGGGGUGAAAUCCCAGAGCUCAACUCUGGAACUGCCUUUGAUACUGUCGAUCUGGAGUAUGGAAGAGGUGAGCGGAAUUCCGAGUGUAGAGGUGAAAUUCGUAGAUAUUCGGAGGAACACCAGUGGCGAAGGCGGCUCACUGGUCCAUUACUGACGCUGAGGUGCGAAAGCGUGGGGAGCAAACAGGAUUAGAUACCCGCGUAGUCCCUGUCUCUUAUAC